GGGGGGGGGGGGUUUAUUCCAGUUGCGAUACUUCCUGUCAUUUGCAUUCUGCAUGUCUGCUUUGGUGACAGAGCCUAUGGUGAGAUCACUUAGCCCUGUUGUAUUUUCUCUUCCGGCCCUUUCUGCAGAUUCAGAGCCUGUCCCAAGAGGCCUCCUCACUCUCACCCCGCGGCCGGGGUUCCACCAGGGCUUCCCCACACUUCGUGGCAAGGUGUUUAUAUCACAGGGCUUAAAACUGCCAGCUGAGAGCUCUCUGUCCGAAAGGCUUCUCUUCCCGAAUGUGGGGCAGCUUUUUAAGUUCAGAUCCCGCACUUUACAGGUGAGCAAAUCAGAGCUCAGAGAAGUGCCGUCUUGUGCAAGUCCACGCUGCUGUGUUUCUGACUCCCAGCCCUGUGCUUCCUCUGAUACUACAAAAGGUACACAGUGUGAGGUAGUUGAAAGAGCCCUGACUUUUGAGUCAGAUAGGCCUGUUGAAGUCUGACUUUGUCAGGUACCAGCUGUGUGACCUUGGGCAAGUUGUUUCACCUCUCUGAUCUGCAAAGGGAAACCAUAAUGCUUUCUUGCAGGGUUGUUGUGAAGACCGCUGUAUAGAAAGUGCUAGACACAGACCAGGCAUCAGUAAAAGGUAGCUGGCACUGUUACUCCUAUGGCCCCUGCCUCCCCACCUUUCUCAGGAACAACAAACCCAGCCACAAUAUUGCAAAACACUGGCUUAAGAUGGUACAACUUUCAAGGAUGUUUAUCUUUUGGUGGAGAUCCUUAAAAAUGAAAAGCCAUUGAGAUAUAAAGGGAUAAACUUUAGUGAUGGAGAGGACACAGGUGCACAAUCCAGCUAAACGCAGCAGGAUGGGUUAAGCAUUAGGAGAACACCUCCAUCUGAAGGUGCUGGGAGGCGAACACAGGAGGCAUGAAGACCCACAGGGCCGUGUUCCAGGCACACAGUCAGCCUUGGGGGCAGGAGCCGUGGUCAGGUAAUGCUGUCUAGUUAGACUGAGGGACAGAGGACAGCAACCAGAAACCCAGAGGAGCGGAGAUGCAUGCUUGCAGGGCUGAGUAGCUGACAUCAGGGUGAUCUGUUACGAAGUGCUGGGGCCUCAGAACCUGGUCUCCAGUUCAGGACCUGGAGAGGGGGGAGGUGGGGCCGCCUGACAAAUCCCAACAUGCCCACCACUGCCUCUGCGCCUCCCUUCUAAGCCAGGCUGGAAUAGGUAGUGCAUGUCCGUAUGUCAGUUGCCAUUUAUUAUUUGCAUAAAAGAGUGGUUUUUUCCUUAAAAAUAGAGAGUUCUAGGGAAAAAACUAAUUAAAUUCUGAACCAUUAGCAACAUUUUAAAUUCUCUUCUAAUAGU
This 1346-nucleotide long non-coding RNA is filed under the name Equus caballus (horse). Its description in RNAcentral is "lncRNA (ENSECAG00000054761.1)". Lineage: Eukaryota; Metazoa; Chordata; Mammalia; Perissodactyla; Equidae. The record is from RNAcentral.